UACAGAGGUCUCAAGCGUUGUUCGGAUUCAUUGGGCGUAAAGGGUGCGUAGGCGGCGCGGUAAGUCGGGUGUGAAAUCUCGGAGCUUAACUCCGAAACUGCAUUCGAUACUGCCGUGCUUGAGGACUGGAGAGGAGACUGGAAUUUACGGUGUAGCGGUGAAAUGCGUAGAUAUCUGGAGGAAUACCGGUGGCGAAGGCGGCAUCCUGGACCGGCAUUGACGCUGAGGAGCGAAAGCCAGGGGAGCAAACGGG
RNAcentral lists this ribosomal RNA (253 nucleotides) under uncultured bacterium. RNAcentral describes it as "partial 16S ribosomal RNA". It matches the Rfam family "Bacterial small subunit ribosomal RNA", at positions 524 to 776 of the family's 1533-position model. The record is from RNAcentral.